AUUGAACGCUGGCGGCAUGCCUUACACAUGCAAGUCGAACGGCAGCACGGGAGCAAUCCUGGUGGCGAGUGGCGAACGGGUGAGUAAUAUAUCGGAACGUGCCCAGUCGUGGGGGAUAACGCAGCGAAAGCUGUGCUAAUACCGCAUACGAUCUAUGGAUGAAAGCGGGGGAUCGCAAGACCUCGCGCGAUUGGAGCGGCCGAUAUCAGAUUAGCUAGUUGGUGGGGUAAAGGCCCACCAAGGCGACGAUCUGUAGCUGGUCUGAGAGGACGACCAGCCACACUGGAACUGAGACACGGUCCAGACUCCUACGGGAGGCAGCAGUGGGGAAUUUUGCGCAAUGGGGGAAACCCUGACGCAGCGACGCCGCGUGAGCGAUGAAGGCCUUCGGGUCGUAAAGCUCAGUCAUUGGGGAUGAAAAGGACAGUACCCAAAGAGGAAGCCCCGGCUAACUACGUG
RNAcentral lists this ribosomal RNA (459 nucleotides) under uncultured bacterium. RNAcentral's name for it is "bacterial SSU rRNA". It matches the Rfam family "Bacterial small subunit ribosomal RNA", at positions 29 to 507 of the family's 1533-position model. The record is from RNAcentral.